Molecule: ribosomal RNA, 253 nt
Filed under: uncultured bacterium
Lineage: Bacteria
Description: partial 16S ribosomal RNA
Rfam family: Bacterial small subunit ribosomal RNA
Source: RNAcentral
UACGUAGGGUGCGAGCGUUAAUCGGAAUUACUGGGCGUAAAGCGUGCGCAGGCGGUUUUGUAAGCCAGAUGUGAAAUCCCCGGGCUUAACCUGGGAAUGGCAUUUGGGACUGCAAGGCUUGAGUGCGGCAGAGGAGACUGGAAUUCCCGGUGUAGCAGUGAAAUGCGUAGAUAUCGGGAGGAAUACCGAUGGCGAAGGCAGCCCCCUGGGAUAACACUGACGCUCAUGCACGAAAGCGUGGGGAGCAAACAGG